GUAGACCAGGCUGACCUGGAACUCACAGAGAUCUGUCUGCCUCUGCCUACCAUGUGCUAGGAUUACAGUGCGCCAUCUUUGUGUGGCAUGUGCCUACAAUUUCAAGUCUCUGGAAGUUGAAGCAGGAAUAUCUCCAAGGUCAUCCUGAAUAUUGGACAUUAGUCAGAAACUCUUUAAAAAGCAAAGUGAGAGCAGAAGGUCAUGUGACUGGACAGGCCCACCCUCUCUGCCAACAUGGCCAUUUCCAGACCCUAAUGUGGGAAGCAUGCACAGUGACUUGAUGGGUCCUGUGAGCAGAGAGAUGUGCAGUGAUCAUUGAAUUUGCUUGAUUCAUCAGGUCAAGGGAAUCCAGAUCAAGGUGUCAGGAGAAAAGGUCUUGCAAAAAGUGCUGAGGACUUGUCUGAACAAGAGGAAAAGGUCGAACAGAAAGAGAAUGAAACCCUGAUCCUUAGAGACCUACUCUGACAACUGUAGUUGGCUGGCAGCUGCAGUUGGUGAGAUCUGUGAGGAAGGUCUACAAGUGCUGGAAGGCCUGACAGCUUCUGGUCUAUACUCCAUCUGAUUUGCCCUGAGUUCCUGGCCUCCAGUCGGGUUGCCAAUGAUUCUUCUGCCUGGGCUGUAGUGCUUACACACUGAAAUGUGCAGCUCAGUGGUGUGGCACAUCUUGUAUAGCCCAACCAAGCAGAUGCCUGGAUGCUGAUGUGCCAACACCAAAAGGCCUCUGAGUGUUUUGAUGUCAUUUAUCUGGACCCCUAUGGCAGACCGUCCACUUCCUGGAUGCAGCAGUGCAGGCUAUCAAUGAUGGAGGACUGGUGUGUGUCACCUGCACAGACAUGGUAGUAUUGGCUGGGAACAGCAGAGAACAGUGCUACAGCAAGCGUGGAGUCCUGGCCCCCAAGAGCUGGGCCUGCGAUAAAAUGGCCCUGAGAAUUGUUUGGCAUAGCGUGCAUCUACAUGCCAACUGCUACCAGCGCUACAUGGUGCCAUUGCUCAGCUUCAGUGCUGACUUCUGUGUCUGUUUUUUUUUUUGUGCUCAUCUUCACAGGCCAGGCAGAGGUUAAAUCCUCAGCAAGCAGGCAUGUGUUCCAGUGUGUGGGUUGUGGAGCCUUGUGCCUGCAGUGCCUUGGGAGACCCUGGUGGCAAGGUCAAGUUUACUGCAGCCUAUUGUCCUCAAGUGACCUGAGCAGGACAUUGUGUACAGUUACCACUAAUCCUGACUGCAUCCACACCUCUAAGUGAAUCCAAGGUGAUUGUUGGUACCGAGGAACUUCCCAUUGUUCCUCUCUACUACACACUGGACCAACCGAGCAGCACCCUCUACUGCAACACACACUGCUUUCUGCAGCUUAAGUCAGCUUUCCUUCACCCUGGCUUCGGGGUCUCUCUCCCAUGCCUUUAAAAAUGCAGUGAAGACAGAUCUUUCUGGGACAUCAUGCUGGGAAGACUGUCCACUGAAACGGGAGCACUGUCAGAAAGCAGCCCAGCAUUCUGAAUUCUCGCUAUGAAGCCCAGGCUGAAGGCCAACUUCAACAUCUGGGAAUACUCCAAACCCAGCUCCGCCAGCAAGGACUCAAGCACGUCCAGGCCAGUCCAGAAGCCAACUGGGGUACCUGGCCCCGUGUCCAGUCUUAGGGCAAAGCUGCAAGUAAAAGGUCUGUAGGAGAGGUGGGGGCUGCUACAGAAGAAGUAGAAGGAGCCAGCCCAGGGGGCAGCUGCCUCAGGAUAUUUCCUUGCAAACGAUUCAAGGAUGGUACCUGUCAGCGAGGGGACCAGUGCUGUUACUCAAACAGCCCAGAGGCAUCUGUGGCCUCUGCUGAUCCCUCCCUCCCUCACACUGACUGUCCGGAGACCACCACCAAGAUCUCCACUGGACUAGAGGCUGCUGAUGGGGGCACUGCUGGGCCAGGUGUGGACUGAGACAAUAAAGAGAUAGCACCUUCAAAGAAAAAGCAGAGUGAAAAGAUGAGGGCUGCUGAAGUAGUUUAAGUUCCUGGGUUUGCUGCCCCAAACAGAAAACAAAAACAGAUAGAACAUAAAAUAAAUACUCAUUUUUAAGGAGUGUGGGGUAGUUGGAAAGGGCUAUUGAGAUGGAGUCAAGUCACUUGCUAAGAGACCUGAUGACCUGAAUUUGAUCUCCAGGAUCUGCAUGGUGGAGUGAACCAACUCCCUCAGGUGUCCUCUGACUACCACAGCUGCCUUGUACUGCUUGUGCACUCUCUCACAUAUAUAGGAAAGAAAUAAGUGCAAUUAAAAAAAGAGUUGGAUAAAAGAUAAGUCUUGUAGGACUUUUCUAAAUGGCUGUUCAGAUUAUUAGGUUUCUGUUAGUCUUGAAGGAGUAGUGCAAGUUCAGCUGUCCAAGUUAUGAGAACAGUGCAUUCCAUGAAAGUUUAUAUUUCGAAGUGGUUUUAAUUAGUGGUUAGUGAUCUGGCUAUUUUCUUCCUGAGGUGUUUAAAAUCUACCCCUCACAAAAAGAAUUAAUUUGUGAUUGUGGUGGUUUGAAUAGAAUACCGCCUCCCCCCAUAAACUCAUAUUUGAAGACUUGUUCCUCAGUUGGUGAAACUGUUUGGGAAGGAUUAAGAGAUGUGGCCUUGGUGGUCAGUGUUGUCGGGCUUUGAGGUUUUCAAGACUGCCAGUGUUCUCCCUCCUUGGGGAUCCAAAUGUAAUCUCGGGUGUUCUGCUGCCAUUCCUUUACUCCGUCAUAGACUCUCACCUCUGAAACCACACGCCCAAAUUAAACACUUGGUUCUGUAAAGCUGCCUUGGUCUUGGUGUCUUAUCACAGCAGUAGAAAAGCAAUUAAGGCAGUGAUUUUAUUAAUUGGUAAAUUUUAAAUUCUUAUACUUUUUUUUAUGUGAAGGAGUAAACUUAACCUUUUUUAGGCCAUUCUUAUGGGAAGAGGUCAUGGAAUUGUAGAGACUUAAAGGCUAGGGUAUCUUGAAAUGCCUGCAGUGUGAUUGGUUGUGUAUCAAGUGAGAGAGACUUCUGCAGGGUUUGUAGCUCUGGCUAGCUUGCAACUAUGUAGUGUAAACCUGGCAAUCCUCAUGUCUCAUUCUUCAUAGUGUGAUGACAGGGUACACCAUGGCUCACUUUCUUAAGUAUAGAGACUGUGUUCAUUUUUUUUAACCCCCCUGGAUAUUUUUAAAUUGGUUACAUGAAUAAACACUGAUUGAAAUUUUAUACACUCGAGCACAAAAUCUAAGUAGAAAUACCUGACUCCUAAAAUUUACAGUUCUUUAGUCUUACUCAUGUUCAGGGUCUCAGAUAUUUCAAAUAUGUUCUUAAUUUUGAUCAUUAGUGUUCUGAAUUAGUAUUGAGUAAGUAGUAAAGUCUCUGAAAUUACAAACAUACUUAUUUGGAUCAAAUGAAUUUCCCUUUAACUAUAUAAAACAACUUUGCCUUAUUUUAAAGUAGAAUAUCAAAAAGAAAACAAAUACUUCUAGGCUAAGAUUGUAUCAGAAAUUAUGGGGCUGGAGAGACAGACAGCUCCAUGGUUAAGAAUACUGGCUGCUCUUUCAGAGGACUCAGGUUCAAGAGGAUCCAGGUCCUCUUCUGAUCUCUGUGAGCAAAGCAGUGUCAUAUACCUAAAAAUAAAUCCAUGAACUUAAAAUAUUAAAAAAAAAAUGAAUUGCAUGUGUAAGAUUAUUCCUGUAUUUACAAAGUAGAAAACAGCAGUUUGCAACAUUGUUCAACAAGAAAAAUGUUCAUUCGAGGAUAUAAUUGGCUUGCUUAGUGUGCGUGAAUGGAACCUCAAGGGAGUUCCAUCCUCGGUAUCACAUGAGAUUGGACAUAUACUGUGUGUAUGGGGGAGGGGGAGAGUAUUCACUUUCUGUGUCACCGUGUCACUUGACUAUUCUGAAAUUAUUUACAACUGAACCUUGUUUUAGUAAAGGGCACUUGGAAAGGGAGAUAAGUAAUUGUGAAUCAAGUUUAGACUGAUGCUGCUUGAAUCAAUAUGUUUUUGUUUUUUUCCUGGUUUUUUGAGACAGGGUUUUUCUGUGUACCUUUGGAACCUGUCCUGGAUCUCACUCUGUAGCCCAGGCUGGCCUCGAACUCACAGAGAUCCGCCUGCCUCUGAUUCCCGAGUGCUGGGAUUAAAGGCUUGUGCCACCACCAGCCGGCAAUAUUGAAAGUUCUAUGCUGGUGACCUCUAGUGGUUGUUGUCAAACAUCAGCAAACACUAAAUAAUUGUAUGAUAAUCAGAUGUUUAAUGUUGAAUAAAUCCAAGAGAUACAUAAAACACGGUUCCAGAUAUUGAAAAUCAGCAACAAGGUUGGGUUAUGCUGAGUUAUUAGCUAAAAUUGGGUAGAUGAAAAUAAGUUUUUGCCUUAGUAAUAUGUAUUUAAUAAUGAAUUGCAGGUUAACUACUUCCCUUUCUACUUUUUUGUUUGUUUGCUUGUUUGAGACAGAGUAUCUCUGUGUAGCCCUGGCUGUCCAGGAACUCUGUGAAUCAGGCUGGUCUCCAACUUAGUUCUGGAAUUAACAGGCAUGCACU
Molecule: non-coding RNA, 4491 nt
Organism: Peromyscus maniculatus bairdii (prairie deer mouse)
Lineage: Eukaryota; Metazoa; Chordata; Mammalia; Rodentia; Cricetidae
Source: RefSeq, a predicted model, not a curated record